Long non-coding RNA from Gasterosteus aculeatus aculeatus (three-spined stickleback), 10029 nucleotides. NCBI's taxonomy places the organism in Eukaryota, Metazoa, Chordata, Actinopteri, Perciformes, Gasterosteidae. The record is from Ensembl.
GGGGGGGGGUGCAGAUCAGCAGAGUCCUUCCGCAUUAUUUUAGUUAAAUUUGAUCACAUCAAUCUCGCUUUCGGUGCGUGUGUGUAUUGUUUAUUAGCGGCUAAACAUCUCCCGGCUUUAAGCACAGCCCCCCCCCCCCCACCACCACCACCCGCCCGCUCCUCCACCUGCCUCUGCGAUCAUCUCCACGCUUAUCUGCCGACAACAAGCGGCCCCCGUGCAUCCCUCUGUAUCGCGGCACCUUGGAAACAAUGCUAUCGUUCCGGUUUGUCAGUCACAGAUUCAUUUCAUGUAGAGCACUCGCAGGAGGAUUAACGGUAUCUACUUCUACGCCCGUGAUAAACUCUUAUCUCCCACCUUCCCCGGAGCGCUCUGUGGGCGCACGGUGACCUGUUUUCCUCUUCCCCCCUCCCUCCUCUGCCUGAUUCAGUCGUUUAACCACGUUUAAUACGGGCCUUCUCCCAAUUUGUUCCAUCCUCUGUGAGUGGGCCCGUUCGGCCCGCGGCGCUUUGCUUUCUUCAAAGACCUGCAGGAAGUUUAUACGCGUGGAAGGUGAGAGGGAGGUGAGGCAGCAACGGACGGAUCUCACAGAGUCUGAAGGGACAAUGAAUGAACUGCAGCGUAAUUAGGCAGCGGUUUAUAAAGCUGUCAGCGGGGGGGGGGGGUUUACGACUUAGCAGGUAGAGUACGUCACCACGCGAGGGCGGCGAGCCGUCGGCUGAGGGAUCCAAACGCGUGUGAAUGCUCGUACUGUUGGUGGUUUACAUCCGGCAGGUAAACGUCCUGUGUGCUCGGUUUACACAGCAUAAACGCAUCGCUUCCUCCUCGUUUAGCGGGAUGUAAACGGAGCGGACACCGGCUCGUGGCGGCGGCGCUCUCUGGGUGGCACUGCCACGAGGUGGCCUGGGGGGGGGGGGGGGGGGAUCAGCCCGCUGACAGCUCGCCUCCAUUAGGACCGCGCGUCAAAGUGUCCACAUGCUCCUGCAGCAUUUUUCACAAAGGUGAAAUAGUUUGAAGUCCUGCUAAAUAUUCCGGGCGCUUGCUUGCUGGGGAGUGGGUGGUUCCAGGAGAAUAGCGCUGUCAUGUCGAGUUACGGACCAUUUACUUCUGUUUAUGUCUCAUUUACAUUUCCUGCAGUGUUUUUGCAAUGCUUGCUGUAUGUAAUUAGAUUUUUUUUUUUCAACAUUUGCAUGUUUUUGUCUUUUCUGUAAGCGGAAUGAAUCCCCAGGCCAGACCCAACAGAAGACGAGGAACGUGUGUGGAAACCUUGAGCGUAGACAAAUCAGUCCUCAGUACUGUCCUUUAUUUCACAGAACAAACUCCGACGACGAUCAAUGUCAGCGUCGAUAUUCCCUGAUCUGCUCAGUUAGGAUCUACGUAGAUCCAACGUUAAAUCAAUGUUCCCUGUUCCUUGUGUCAGAGCGAGAUUAAAUGUCCUCCACCUCUGGACUGUAACUUUAUUACAGGCGUGUCCUUCUCAGACGGAUUCAUUUAGUUUUUACAGGCAUUGGGGAGUUAAACCAUCAGAAGCUCUACAGUCCGAUUUGGAUGAUCAAAGAGUGAAUGCUGUCAUUUCUCUAGACGCUACACCAAAAAACUACAACGGAGUGCGUGCGAUGGGGAAGGCAGCAGCGACCUCCCCCAGUACUCGUGCAACCUCUACUCCACUUUAUGAAUCAUUUCAGGUGUAGAGAUUUCAAUUUUCUGACUCACUGAGUAUUUGAUUAUAGCAGAAGGUGGGGAAUGAAUUGCACAUUCACCGGGAGCAGCUUUUUUCUUUCCAGUAACACAAAUCGGGGCGAAAGUUCUGCAAAAGAGUCGCUGUUCUCAGUUUUCUCAGAGACCUCGUAACUUUUCUUUUCUCUGUUAACAGAGCUCAGAUCGCAUAGAACAUAUGAUGACUGUUGAACGAGUGCCAACUUCAGAUGCUUUGACCUCGGCGGGGUCAGGAAGCUGCAGGGAAACCUGUGAAGGAUUAGCCUGUUUUUCACCAGACAAACUCCUCAGGAAAUCUAUGCAAAUACGUUUCAGCAGCCAGCAAACAUGUAGAUAUAAUAUAUUCCAAAGCGGGGCUUUAACUUGGUGCCGUCUCCACAUUUGCCCAGGGAGGGGAGGGACGCACCUCGUCUCUUAAGAGAGUGGGUAGCAGAGGAUGCAUGUAACCUCAUUCCGCAUCCGACACUCGGUGACAAAUACAUAGUUUGGGGCAAAUUUCCAUUUCAUGUUCGACUACACCGCACAUCUCAAAUUAAGAGCGCGGCAUUAUCAUCGACAAGGAAAUACGUUGCGUUAAUAUUCUCGCUUCACACUUGCCAAAGAAUUAGUUCAGAUCUUUGCAUAAAUUAACGGUGGCACAGUUUUGAAAAUCGGUAGCUCGAGGCCACGCUCCCAGAACAAGGCCUCAAUUCACCGUUUGUUUUGAUGGCUGCACUCAAAGAGUUUCUCUCCACAACGUUGUGUAGGCACAUUUCCACAGGGGGGGGGGGGGAGAUGGAAUUACCUGGAGCUCAUCGCGCGCUGCGUCUCCGGGAGCGCAGGGGAGCGCUCGACUCGUGUUUGUGUUACCGAUCACCCGAGGCUUCAAACAGCCCGUUUGCUCUUCCGAGGGCUGAGCGAGAACAGAUGCCGCUUGGUCCCCGCUGCUUUUUACGCUUUAAAAUGUCGUCUUCAUCCCUUUUCAAAGAAACAAAUGUGCAUUCAGAAGUUGCAUUCAGCAGAAUGCAUUUUUCCUUUGUAUUUCCAGGUGAGGAUUUGAGUUUGUCCUGGUGGAGUUUGCGCGGCUGUCCCGCUGCAGUGGUUCCCCUCGUCCUCGCUCAAUGUCAAGGGGAAGCGCGCUCCGUGGGGCAGAGGUUCCUCUUCCUGUCGCAUUGUGUUCAAUUGUGUUCAGCUCCACGUCUCAGUCCAUUUCCUGUCCACCCACAACCUUGAGUAUUGUCGAGUUAGCAAAGGCUCGGGUUGUUUUAACGGUGUGUGUUUGUGUGCGUGUUGGGACGUCAUCACCGCUCUCGACCUGCCGGCCUUCCGAGCAGUUGAGUUGAAGCUCGUGGAGAGAUGUGUGAUAUUAUGCAACGGUGACAACUACAUCCUGCCUGAACACAGCGGCUCCGCGGCCGUUACAUCGAUGCCAAACGAGGGGAUUUCUUAACAGAAAGGUGCUUCCUCUGUGUGUGGUUGUGUGUGUGUGUGUGUGCACACGCGUGUACCUGUUGGCGGGUGAAUUGAAUCUGCUCGCUUGCUUCCAUAAGCAUCCAUGAUGUAGCUGGUAAAACAACGUGUGUGUGUGUGUGUGUGUGUGUGGUUGCCUGCACCUCUCUGGCCUUCCUGUUGCUGUCAGUGAAUGACAAACCGCCGGCACGGAGCGACCAACGUGUCAGGUGCUGUUACAUCACACACACACACACACACACACACACUGUGGAACCGCUCGCAAAAAGGUAAUCAGCCACCAGCCUGAUUGCUCCGUUCGGCUGGUUAACGCUGACCUCCGAUGACACGGUCCGAUCCGCUGCAGGUCGGAGCGGCGUGCCGUCAUUCUGGUGUCAAGCACAUGUUACGUUACCGUAAAACCUGAGCAUUCAAAACACACGUUGGAUGAAUUGAGCCACUGAAUAAUAUUAGAAUUAACAAUAUAUAAACCCAGUUGAUUAUAGUCCAGACAAACGAGCAACAAUAAUAUUAAAAUCAGAGUUUAAUGAGCUCAAACUCCACUUAAAACAGUAAAACUGUCCGUCCGCGGGCUAAACUGUUAGCAUGGAGCUAGCGAUCGCUGACAUGACGUCUCGGAGGCGCCCAGCGGGGAGCAUCGGGGAACACUCUGUUUUUAUUUCUUUAGUUGAUCAACCAGCCAUUCUCGCACCAAAAAAAAAAAGUCUUUCUUUUUAAUUAUCUCAACUUUCCUCCCCGAGCUGUUCGCCUGUCAGCAACUUUAGCUCCGGCCUCAUGCUCCGCUGAACAGCCCUCCGUCCCUCCCCAGCAACUUCAACUUGGCAGAGGCCUCGAACUUCUCUCCGAGGGGGCUGACAGCGCUUCCCCGCCCCCCCCCCCCGUCUCCCCUGCACUCAAACUCCCUCCUGGGCCCAACGCGAAGGAAGCAAACAAGCCCAGUUGUUUAGUGGUACUUUGCAAGAAGUUAUGACACAUUCUGGAUGCAUCCGUGUUUGUACUUUAACCCGUUUCCUGUGCUUAAAAUGAUGCACGGUGUCCAAACCACAGUCCGGUUCACAAUAUUUCACCAGCAUUAAUAACGGUGAGAUGCAAUGACAACUGGACGGAGGAGGAGCCGUGAUUGCAGUUCAUACGGUUUGGACAAUAACCUCCAUCACCUGUCAGUCUGGAAGGUGCAGCUUGUGCGUUUGCUGUGGCGGAGGGAGGUGGGCCGCGUGGGCGGCUCUGUCACACAGACAGGUUUCUUUAUGUGACACAAGCUCCGCCCCCGCGCCGGGGUUUAACACGGGAAGUUUGAUCAAGGGGGGGCGGCAAUUUAUGGAGGUGUCACCCCUCCGUCGAUCCCCGUCUGAGCGGCCGGGGCACAUUUUCAUGCAAAUAACGCCGCGGCAAUUUUUUCCCUAAUAGCUUCUUACAAAUGAUGUACCAUUACAAGGAGGUUUAUUUAAACAAAUUUAAUACGUCUUUAAUCAACCCUCGCCGAGCGCCUUUCAAAAGGUCACACGCCACAUCAGGACAGCCCCCCCCCCCUCCUCACAUCACAGUAUUAGCUCAAGGAUGUGGAGGAGGAGGAGGAGGACAAGAGGAGCGGGGGGGAAUUAUUUCAUGGACAACUCAUUUUAAGCAAAUCUUUAUUUACAUUUUUAUUCAGUUAUUAAAUUUUAUUUCGCUGUGCGACAGAGAGGGCGGGGGCCCUCCUCCCUCCUCGUGCACACACACACACACACACGCACACACUCUCAUUUGCUUAUGAAGUCAUCUAAUCUGAGAGCGCAUGAACCUUUAGUGUCUCGUGUCUGACGUGGCGAGGCUCUUGAUCUUUUGUGUGCUGCGAGAUGAAAAAGGCUUGUAAAGGGAAGCCAUUUAACACCACUUACAGGUAUUAUAAAAGACUGAAAAUAACAGUUCAACACAGCCAACAAUAAAUGGAACAUACUUGAAAUUACUGCAUAUUCAAUUUAGCAAAACACUUUCACACUAACAUGUCUUUCUCUUCUCAUGGUGUCUUAUUUUUAUAAAUAAUCUUUAUUUUACCGUCUCAUUGGGAUACAAAUCCCUGUCAUAGAGCGCUUGAACUAUUCUGCACAUGCGAGUAUUUAAGCUUUAAAAAACCCUGCAAAUACUAUUCAUUGUUUUGAGGUCCAACCUGCGACAGAAUGAAGCUGUUGCGGCGCCGCUGUCGCUAAAGUAAGUUCUACAAGGCGGUUUGUGCGAGCGGAUAAUCCAGAGUGGCGCCCGGCUGCUGCACGUUGUGUCCUUUGCUCUGAACGACACCCACUUAACAGAUCCGACUGAAUCACUUGUCCUUGUGCUCGUGCCGUCUCCUCAGUCCUGUUUCAUUACCGCCGCCACACGCGCGACCCCGACCAAAGUCAAUAAACAAAGCCAUUUAGAUGUGUGCGGCUCCUGAGAUGGAGAUAUUUCAAUAUGCACGAUUGGGAGGGUGUGAUAUUACCUCAGCGUUGUGUGCUGUGACCCAGAAGGUGAACCCCCCCCCCCACACACACACACACACACACACACUGCACUUUGCAUAUAUGCAGGCGCACAACGUGUAUUUAACAUGGCAGUACAAUGUUCACCCUCCUUACCGCACAGCAUCAUGCAUACUGGAAAUACUCCGAUCCCACGUAGCUGUUUCGGGGAUGAAGUUAUUCGGGGGACUCUGUGUGUCGGAUGCUGAACAGAGCAUCUUCAUUUUUUGUGGGGGGGGGGUUUAACCCUUUCCACCCUAAUGCCUUUUUCUCAGGGUGGCAUUUACACAAAAUGAAUUGCUUGCUUAGACACAGCUAACUAAAUAAAAGACAGCGGGGGCUGAUACUAUGAAAAAUGGAUUUUCAUUACUGUUUCAUUGAUUCUAGUAAAUAAGGGCCCGGGGCCGCCACCGCAAAGGCUGCAAAACGGUAAUAAUUUAAUCUAAGGUGACACAGACCAAAAUGUAUGUGGACAAAAAAAAAUCAUCCCUGAAUAUUAAACAAGGGCCCCGAGACAAGAGGAAGGAGGGGGGGGGGGAAAGUGUUUGCAGGCGCAUUUAAAUGUAUGCAGAUUGCCGUCCAACCUAUUUAAAAACAAGAAUUAGGUAUUCCUGUCAUAAAUCACGUUUGCCGCUAUGGAUAUGCCUUGUUAUGCCGGUGUUUAACGGAAACCUGAAAGGUUAAAGCACUUGGUGCAUUAAAUUGUACAGGGAUAAUUAAUACUUUUCUCCUGGCUAUUUAUAAAAUAUGGAAAGUAGAGUCAGCUGAACUGUGACAGCACACUGGUUUGAGACGGAAAUAACAAGGAAAGGAAGACAUUGAGGCCGUUUACACACCGGAUAUCACAGCAUUAAAGGACCAGCCGAAUGAAACAAUAAUACAAUCGGGGGAGGUUGCUGCUGGGCCGAUGGCCAAGUGAGGCUCCGCCCUGCAGCUGCCCCGCCUCCUGGCGUGCGUCUGUGCGUUGGCGUGCGCUGUCACUAAUUAGUGCUUGUUAGCAGUGAGCUAGUGCAAACUCCCUAAUUUGACAAAUCUAUUCCAGGGGUGUUGACCUCUCCGUCAAACCUGGCGCCUCGGGGGCGGGCGGGGGGAGCGACGUGUCGCGUCUACCUGUCUCCGUCGCACCUCUCCCGACGCGCUGUCGAAGUCCCCGGGCGUCAAAAGCCAGCGCGCCGUUACUGCGGAGGAGAAGGAAACAGCAACAGAAAGAACCGCGGCGUGUCGCUCGGCGAGCGGCGGGGCCGCGCGCCCCCGCGUGAGGGGAAGGCGUUCUGACAAGUGUCCGGGCCCAUUACGCCGCGUUAGCCCGCUCACCGACUCGCGCUCCAGUGGCUGUUAUGUGCGCCGAGACGAUCAUGUCAAGCGGGGGGCGGGGGGGGAUAAUAGCCUCGACAUGCAAAAGGCACAACAUCUGGAGCGAGGUGGGGGGGGGUCCGGUCGAUCUGAAGGGAUCUGAUUGUAGGUCACAAUCAUCCAAGUCUCCCCGUGUCGGCCCUCCCGCUCCCUCAGUGGCGCCGGCGCUUCCACUAACCCGGCGCGGUGCUUGUGGCCGAGUCGGCGUAUCUUUAACCUGCUGCCUGGGAGGAAAGGGAGGAAUCGUUGGCUGCUCUUCGGUAGGAAGAGGACUUUAGCCUCCCAACCUGCGCAGGUGUUUUCACUUGUUGGACCCCGUUGGACCUCUGUGACGGCUCCGUUAGCUUCCUGUUGCUUUUCUUCCGUCUGUCUGGGCAGGACAGCUUUAUUUUGCCGAUGGCCCGGUGGAGAUCGGUGGUGUAAUCGUCCGGUGAAAUGUCCGUCCUUGUGAACACACUCGCACUUCAUAUUCAGGUCACUCCUUCGUACUACAUUCCUGAAGUUAAUACGAUAUUUGCUCGCAACAAUUAGCACAAGAUAAACAUAAGCCAAAUUGUUCUUGUUCCUGCUAAUGGAGCUAGCCUCUGGCCAGGCUAUAAUUAUUCCUAUUAGCAAAUUAAAUCGUUGCCUUGCCUCCUUCCUCGUUUUUUAUUAAGCAGUGGAAAUAACUUUGAAAUGAACACAAGGACGCGGCGGAUUCGUCUGCAAAGCUUCCGGUGUCCUGACGGGAUUUAUAAAUGGCUUCCUCCACACGUCACACACAGUUUAGAGACCAAGCGGCACACAUGCUGUUUGGUUUAGUGUUCAUGGCUCUCCCUGUUUUACACUUUAUACUAUAUACUUGGGAAGAUGGGAUGAAGCAAAAGGUUUUUCUAAAUGUAUUAAUUGUAUGAAUCUUGCCUGAAUCUUUGUAAAACUAUUCCAGUCGUUGCAUAGCAACAACAUCAAAUGUCCAUCAUGAAUGUAGAAACAUGGUGUUGAGUCUUUUCAUGGCACCAAAGUUCAUGUUUUAUGGGAUCCUCAGUCUGGAAAUAGGACAUUUUUAAUGCCUCAGUGCAUUGUUGGACUUCUCUAUGAGAACAGAGCCCCCCCCCAGCGUACAGCAUGCAGUCCACUGUGGAUUCUAAUUGGUUUGUGGUGGAACUGCAUGAGGAAGGAGCUAACCCCCCCUCACCCACCCAGGCCCCAGGUAUCCUCUUUUGUUCCAACCGAUGUGAAGUCUCCCGACCGCAAGCCUUAUGUUGGGCAACUUCGGUUCGUACAAAGGGACGUCGCACCUUCCUCAAAACGGUCGCAUCUAUUCCAAGCGCCUGUGGAAACUCCUGCUGUUGAUUUACAUGACAUAUCCAGCGCCGUUUCACACACACGGGCUCAGCUUCCCCAUUUCUGAAUGAGAGGCACGUGCGCGGUUAUCAGUCCACUGGCCCUUUGCAGACAGAUAUGGAAUCACAAGAUUACAUCCGCUAUUCAAUCGUUUUUUAAGUCUUUGAUUUUAGCACAUCUUAAAUAAGAGCACGGGGUUCUGGGGCAGUGAUGACAGAAAGACACCUGUUCGGUGUUUCCACGGUUACUGGAGUAUUGACUUAGCGUCUCGUUGGACGCCGUUGGACGCCGUUGGAUGACCUGACCCUCUUUGGGAACCCCCCCCCCCCCAAACGCCCACACAGUGUGGCUGCAGCUGUCUCCGCCAGCCUCUGCAGCUGCUUUGGCAUCGGAAGGACCACGCCGGUGAACUCUGGAGACGGGCGCUUAUAAGUGAACCGGCUCGUCGGCUCGCCGGCUCGCCUCUCGUGCGUUCACGCCAGUGAGAGGUCGCCCGUCUCACGGGUUUCCACUCAGAACGAGGAGAAAAGUGCUUAUUUCCAGGUGCCUCGGUGCGAUCGCGUUGUCACCGUAUGUGAGCGCCGAUAUUACGGCAGAUGCAUAAAACCUGGCUCCAGUCCCGCGCUAACAUGGCCUCUGCUCUGAUAGAUGGUCCGCGGCUGCAUGCGCGGCGCGUUUAGGACACCUGCGUGAUCGAUGCUCGCCAUUUAGCAGCGGGAAAGAACAAGUGCACCUCCAGCACCUUGUGCCGGACAGCUGGAUAGAGGGUUAAAGAGCCGGGGGUCAGGGGGUGGGGGGGGGCAGAACAAAGGAGAAAAGGUAAAACAUUGAGGGAGACACGGGCGAGAGAGAGAGAAAAAGAGGAUGUGUGAGAAAGAGAGCAAGCGACCUACAUCUGUUACUCAUUAUCCUCGUGGCCCCCUCCCUGGUAAUCGCUCCAUCUGACAUAACUCACUGCAGCCCUCACUUUGACUACAGAUGGGGUGUCGAUAGGAGCGGCUGGGGGGGGGUAAAAGUUAUCCGAGGCAAAGAUGCGAGCGGUGCGACUGAUCUCUGGAGUAGGAAGCCCUCCUCUGCCCCUGAAGUAUUGCACCAUUAAAAUGUCCCAACGUUGGACAGAUUUCCCAUCAGCGAUAAUUACGCUGUAAUCGCUGAGAUCUGGCGAUGCCUAAACAUUGCUAAACGCGACCAAAGUGUGACUGCGCAGGAAACGGAAUCAGACAGAUGAUCAGACAGGUUGUAAAUAAACCUGCCGGUUGGCCAAAUGUACCGAGGAGAGAAAAAAGAGCAGUUUGAGAGAGGAGUUAUUCCUGAUUCCAGAUGCUUCCAAGUGCUUUGGACGGCCUGCCCGGGUCCAGAGUCACCGUCAGCAGCAGCCGACCUCCACCUCGGACACCUCCACCUCUGACACCACUAUAGAAGAAAAGGGAUCCGCAGGAAAUACAAAAAUUGCGUGUAUGCAAAUGCGAAAGGGGAGGCGAAGAGUGUUAUUAUAAUCAGAUGCUCCUCAGCACCGUCAGGUCGUUGAAUUCUUGAGGACGUGCAGAAGCCUCUGCCUGCACUUCAUCACUGCGUCUCGAAAUUGAGAUCCGCGGUCGCCGCGAGGAGCCCCCGGGGGGCCGGCGGCCCACUUGUAGCCUCGGGAAGGUCAGGCCCCUAUUGUGCUCCUUGACGGUCAAGUGCUUCUUUUUUUUAAUCUCCGGCUCCGAGUAUU